GAUGAAGAACGUAGCGAAAUGCGAUAAGUAAUGUGAAUUGCAGAAUUCAGUGAAUCAUCGAAUCUUUGAACGCACAUUGCGCCCGCCAGUAUUCUGGCGGUCAUGCCUGUUCGAGCGUCAUUACAACCCUCAGGCCCCCGGGCCUGGCGUUGGGGAUCGGCGGAGCCCCCCGUGGGCACACGCCGUCCCCCAAAUACAGUGGCGGUCCCGCCGCAGCUUCCAUCGCGUAGUAGCUAACACCUCGCGACUGGAGAGCGGGGCGGCCACGCCGUAAAACACCCAACUCUUCUGAAGUUGACCUCGAAUCAGGUAGGAAUACCCGCUGAACUUAAGCAUAUCAAUAAGCGGAGGA
Molecule: unclassified non-coding RNA, 352 nt
Filed under: soil metagenome
Description: partial contains 5.8S ribosomal RNA, internal transcribed spacer 2, and large subunit ribosomal RNA
Rfam family: 5.8S ribosomal RNA (bases 1-120)
Source: RNAcentral